GACCAGAACCAACUCUGACUCAUCAUCAUGGCUUAAUGAGAGUGCCAACGCCUGAUGGAGAGACAUGGACCUGGAAAGCUCAGCAUAAGGUGACUUUCAGAAAACUUGUCUAUUUAUCACAGUUGACUUCUUUCUGAGAAGCAGCCCAAAAAUGUUUGACAAGCAUUGUCUUCACCAUAGUUCUUAGCUCUGCAGGUAUCUCUCUACUUCAGGUGGAGGGAAUUUUCAUGGAGACAGGAAGUAACCCUACAAAGGUCGCCCAGCACUCUCUGUCACUCCAACUGGGAAAGUAGUAACAAGUUAAACCUAAGGAAUGCUUUCUUUCAAAGAGAACUAACAAACAUUUCCAGGUGGAGGAAGGUGGUAAAAGUCUCCACUGUCUCCUUGGUCAAUAUUGCCACUCAGACACACAGAUUUAACAAAAUGCAAAAGAGUUUAUGGCGGACCCCGCUUCUACACCACAAUUUCAAAUGCCAUGGCACUAGUAAAUAAGAUUUUAAACCUUUUCAGAGUGCUAUAAAUGCUUGUAAAGAUUUAUUUGAAAAAUAUGGCAACACCAACUGCUUCCACAAGAACAAAAACAUACCGGCUUUCUAAAAUAUUGUAACCAGUUUUGUUCAAAAAUAGGACCACUUUAAGAGACGUUUGAAAAUAAAAGGGUUUUUUUUUUAAUCCAAAAGCAAAACUUUACUCCUCUGUAACUUAUUUUAUUGAGAUGCCAGUAAAAUAUAAUGUGUUCUCUGUAAUUUGCAAGCAGGAAUUCUUCACUUACCAGAGCUCGUGUUGUCUGAGUGCCUCAGACAAAGCAGUCAGGUGUUUUACGGCAUUACUCCAAAGCCAGGAAAUCAUGAUGGCAACAUGUUACAAAUUAAAUAGCUCUGCUAUAAACAUUUCAUUUUAUUUUUAUUUUUUAACAGAAAUUAGAUUUUGGAGUUAGAUUAUUUAGCAACCAAAUGGAAAAUAAGCAAAAAUAUAAGAUCAACUUACCCCGUAACCCCUAGAUGAUGUUGUUAGCAAGCAAAACUAAAGGCUGGGACAUAAAAUUACUGCCUCGGGGUGAGCUGCCAGUCCAACUGCUCCUCACUGUUUGGUGUCGUGAGGGGAUUCUACUGUUCAUGAACCUGAAAACUUGUGCUGUGAACUUUUCACCCGACGUCCUUCUGAAGAGUCCAAGUUCUUAAGGAGCCCUCAGAGCCACGUAUAUAUGACCAAUUGCCAUUUCAGUGGCAACCUGCUGUCCUGCAGAACAGAACCUCAGACUGUGUGUUCAGUUCUUGGGGAGGAAACUUUCUUCUUUACUUUUUAUGGCGAAUGCACACAAACACAUCUCCUGGACUGUUUUCAGUCAUUUGGUUUGCUUCUCCCGUAAACUUUAGGCCACUGGAUGAUCAGACCCAGUUGGAGGGCAAAUCCGACUCCUGCCUGAUGUGCAGCCAGUGCUGGGAGUGGUCUAUUUUAGCAUGCAGAGCCCAGGCUCCAGAGUCAAACUUUCUUGCUGCUGCUUCUGGCUUCACAAAUUAGAAAAGUGGCUCCCAGCCUUGGCCGCAUGUUGGAAUCACCUGGGGGCUUUAAAAACUGCUGCUGUCUGAGCCCCACCCCCAGAGAUUUUGAUUUAAUUAGUCUGGGGUGAAGCUUGGGCACUGGAGGUUUUUAAGCCCCCCCAGCUGAUUCUAAUGUGCAGCCAAGGCUGAGAAGAGCUGACUAAAAAGGAGGCUCUAAUUAGAUCUGGUUAUGGCUUCCGAAGACACUAUUAAGACUAGCUCCUCAGGCCCUGGUUGCCUUCAGAAAACACGAGAAGUCUGACUCUAAGCCCCUCGGAACUGUGAUCCCUGUGCUACGUUUCCAUACAAACCCUCGUCUAUCACACUCUCCCAUUCUCUCACCUCCACUUCCUCUUCGGCUUUGCCCUGGGAAACUCAGUCUGUCAUCAGCAAAAUUACCUGACUCAGUAACUACACCAUUCCAGUCUCAGUUUCUAAUAUCCCAUUCUCCACAACGAAGAUAUUGUUGGAUCCUCUUUAUCCCAACUCCAACCAUCCUUUCCCU
Molecule: long non-coding RNA, 2046 nt
Filed under: Equus caballus (horse)
Lineage: Eukaryota; Metazoa; Chordata; Mammalia; Perissodactyla; Equidae
Description: lncRNA (ENSECAG00000057877.1)
Source: RNAcentral